Small nucleolar RNA from Diospyros lotus (date-plum), 118 nucleotides. RefSeq annotates it as small nucleolar RNA snoR104. NCBI's taxonomy places the organism in Eukaryota, Viridiplantae, Streptophyta, Magnoliopsida, Ericales, Ebenaceae. The record is from RefSeq and is a predicted model, not a curated record. The transcript has a single exon.
GGGGAGCAUCCAUAAACUGAGAUGUUUCCUGAUAGAAUCUUCCUAUAGAAAACUCCUGUAAUUUCCUGCUUGUGCUACUCCAGUAAAUUCUACAAGUCUCAAAUUACAAGAUACAUGA